RNAcentral lists this ribosomal RNA (497 nucleotides) under uncultured bacterium. Its description in RNAcentral is "partial 16S ribosomal RNA". It matches the Rfam family "Bacterial small subunit ribosomal RNA", at positions 28 to 507 of the family's 1533-position model. The record is from RNAcentral.
GAUGAACGCUGGCGGCGUGCCUAAUACAUGCCAGUCGAGCGAACAGAUGAGGAGCUUGCUCCUCUGACGUUAGCGGCGGACGGGUGAGUAACACGUGGAUAACCUACCUAUAAGACUGGGAUAACUUCGGGAAACCGGAGCUAAUACUGGAUAAUAUAUUGAACCGCAUGGUUCAAUAGUGAAAGACGGUUUUGCUGUCACUUAUAGAUGGAUCCGCGCCGCAUUAGCUAGUUGGUAAGGUAACGGCUUACCAAGGCAACGAUGCGUAGCCGACCUGAGAGGGUGAUCGGCCACACUGGAACUGAGACACGGUCCAGACUCCUACGGGAGGCAGCAGUAGGGAAUCUUCCGCAAUGGGCGAAAGCCUGACGGAGCAACGCCGCGUGAGUGAUGAAGGUCUUCGGAUCGUAAAACUCUGUUAUUAGGGAAGAACAAAUGUGUAAGUAACUAUGCACGUCUUGACGGUACCUAAUCAGAAAGCCACGGCUAACUACGUG